AUUUUUCUUUUUAUUUAAAGAAACUGCAAAGUUAAAAUUUUAAUGACCCGACUCUUACAUCUUGUUCUCUAUCACAAAUUCGUAAUUUUUCAUAUGAAGUUCCAAACUCAAAGACACCCAGCUUCCUAAAGGUGUAGGCCACAGAUAGCCAAACAUUUUCUAUAAAGGGCCAGAGAGUAAAUAUUGUGGCUUUGCCAUGUGGUCUCUGUCUGAACUAAUUCAAUUCUGCAACUGUAGCAACAAAGCAGAAAUAGGCAAUACAUAAACUAAUGGGGAUGUCUAUGUUCCAAUAAAACUUCACUUUCAAAAACAGAUGGUGAGGAGGAUUUGGCCAUAGGUUGCUGACCUCUGGUGUAGACCAAAUGAGAUCUCUGCUUCAUGCAAAAAGGGUCCAAAACAGUUCUCAAGAAAAGUGUUAGCUGGAUGAAGUCAGGAAGGACAAGUGUAUUAGUCUGUUCUCACGCUGCUCAUAAAGACAUACCUGAGACAGGGGAAUUCAUAAAGGGAAAAGGUUUAAUUGACUCACAGUUGAGCAUGGCUGGGGAAGCCUCAGAAAAGCUACAGUCAUGGCAGAAGGGGAAGCAAACACAUCUUUCUUCACAUGGUGGCAUCAAGGAGAAGAGUGAGCAAAAGGGGAAAAGCCCCUUAUAAAACCAUCAGAUCUCAUUAGAACUCACUCACCAUCAUGAGAACACCAUAAGGAUAACCAUCCCCAUGAUUAAAUUACCUCCCACGACACAUGGGGAUUAUGGGAACUACAAUUCAAGAUGAGAUUUGGGUGAGGACACAGCCAAACCAUAUCAGCAAGGAAAUUAAAAAUUGUUAUUCAAGCAAAGGUAGUGGAGGAGAGUAAAGAUAGACAAUAGACAAUAUAUUUUUAAUUGGAACUUUAAUAGAGCUUUUGAGUUCUGAACUCAUGCAGUAAGUAGUUUUGACAAGCCAAUGCCCAGUAAUCACUUUACCAAGGGGGAGAGCUUGUUCACCAUUAAAUGCUGAUCUGUUAAAGGAAAACACAAAUUCAUAAUUCAUACUAUUUCAAUUUUUGCUUGGAGGCCAACUAGCAACAUAGAAUAUAUUUCAUUUUAACAUUUCUCUCUAUAUAUAUAUUAUGUAUGUUUGUCCUAUACUUUAAGUUUAACCGUAAUAUUUGCCAGUAAAUCAUAAGUAUGUCUGCAACAAAUGUCCUAAGGGGAUUUUGGUGACUUCUGUUAACCUCUAAUUCACUAUUUUUCAAACUUUUGACCAACCAUCAGCAAUGUCAUUGCUCCAACUUGGUUGCUGAGUAGCCUUAGGCAAAAUGUAGGAUACAAAGGCAUAACCCAAGAAUAAUCUUUCAUCCUUGGGGUCGAGGAGGGAAAGGUGGAAGCAGAACUCCUGGAACAGCACUGCUUCUGCCACCUCAGACCAGAUGUACAUUGUCCCAGUGUGGGAGAAGCAAACUGUCUCUUCACUUGCUUAAGUUAUUCAAUCACUUUUUGGCAAGACUUCAAGCAGUUUUUGCUGCAGUUAGCUCUAAAGGGGGCAUAGAGUUUUUACUACUUUGAAAUGACAAGCUUAAGGACAUUCAUGAUAGGCUCAGGAGGGUCUCUGUUGGGUCUCAGGAAAUGUCUCAUCAAAGUCAUUCUCAGGAGUUCCAGGACAGGACUGCAUUUUUGGACCUAAAUUAUUUUGCCCUCUAUGCAGUGAUUUCUAUGUCUUAGAAAGAAAAAAUAAUAAUAUUAAUAAUGGUGAGUGGGAUGAGAAGUCCCUUUACAUUCCAUUUUAUUAUUCAUUUGGACAGAUAAUUGUUUGAGACUACCUUAAUGGAAGUGCAUGCUAUACAAGUAAGAAAUUAUUUCAUACAUGUCAGUUCUUUCAGGAUGCUGUUGCUGUAAUCACUCACUGAAAAGACCUAUUGUUAAUUUUUAAAGAAGCUUAAAGGAGAAGAAAACAUGCCCACGGGCACAAGGUUCAGUGAGCAGUCAUAAUGUGGUGAAGAAGAGGCAGGAAGGAGGCCCAAAAGGCAGGAACUGGCUGGGGGCCAUCCCAAAGGCCAUGGCAGUAAAGGGUAUAUGUGGAUGGACACCACGAACUGUACCAAACAAUGCCAAAAAUAUUGUCUACCAUACUUACUUCAUCCUUACAGAAACUCUAUGAUAUAGUUAUCAUCUUUAGCAUCCUUUUAUAAGGAGGAAAUUAAAGCCCAGAGGAGUUAAAUAAUGUGUCAGUUGGGGUCUUGUGAGGAGAAGAAUCUGAAACAGGCUUAGAACUGCAAGAGAUUUAUCGAAUAAAUGCCUGUGAAAACUAAAAGAAAGGGAGCAGGAGUCGUCAGGGAGAAUCUUCAGACCAUGGUGUGGGUGGGACGCUGUAAAAGGAGAGAGGGAAGGAAGGAUGAAUAGAAACAGCCCCAGACCACGGCACAGUUGGCGUAGCUUUACACAAGCCAAUGGGAGUCCCCAAACAAACAUGCUCAUUGGAAGAGUCCUGGGGAGGGAGGGCUGUGUUGGCACCAUUAGUCUUGUCAUGUACAGUCAUUGCUGGGAGCAUCCCAAGGGAAGUGUGAUCUUGACACCAGCCUGGUGCUGGAUUCGAAGCUGUCAGCCAACUAUGCCCUUGUGGCAGGUUUUCUUGGAGAAGGUCUAAGCAGGUAUUUCCACAGAUGCCGCUGUAACUUGCCUCGAAGGUGAAACUAGGAUUUGAUCAUGGGCUGUCUGAGCAUUGCACAAUGGUCUGAAAUCUUCCUUGAUCUGGUUAAAGAAGUCAAAAGGCAAUAUAAAUAUCUUGAUACCGUAUUUGCUAUAUUUCAGGAGUUGGCAAACUUUUUAUAUAAAAGACCAUAAAGUAAAUAUCUUACUCUUUGUGAGCAUAUGGGGUGUCUGUCACAAAUACUCGGCCCUGUUGGUCCUAGUGAGAAAACAAAUGGGAGAGGCUGUGUUCUAAUAAAAUUGUAUUUAUGCAAAAACAGGCACCAGGCUGAAUUUGACCCAGGGGCCAUAGUUUGCCAACCCUUGCUCUGUAUGACAAGAAACAAAUGUCAGAUCAAAGAGGAAACAAAAGUAAUAAACUGUAGAAGAUGAAGACAUGAGAACCCAGCA
Molecule: long non-coding RNA, 3074 nt
Filed under: Homo sapiens (human)
Lineage: Eukaryota; Metazoa; Chordata; Mammalia; Primates; Hominidae
Description: LNC_000218
Source: RNAcentral